RNAcentral lists this ribosomal RNA (700 nucleotides) under marine sediment metagenome. Its description in RNAcentral is "LSU rRNA". It matches the Rfam family "Bacterial large subunit ribosomal RNA", at positions 619 to 1308 of the family's 2925-position model. The record is from RNAcentral.
ACCGGCGAGUUACAUGGUGUUGCAAGGUUAAGGUAUAGAAAUACUGGAGCCGGAGGGAAACCGAGUCUUAAUAGGGCGUUAAGUAACAUCAAGUAGACCCGAAACCGAGUGAUCUACCCAUGGCCAGGGUGAAGCUGUGGUAACACACAGUGGAGGCCCGAACUCACUAAGGUUGAAAACUUAGGGGAUGAGCUGUGGGUAGGAGUGAAAGGCUAAACAAACUCGGCGAUAGCUGGUUCUCCCCGAAAUAGCUUUAGGGCUAGCCUCUGGUGUUUAUUUGUGGUGGUAGAGCACUGAAUGGGCUAGGGCCCUUACCCGGGUACCAAACCCAACCAAACUCCGAAUGCCACAAAUUUAUAGCCAGGGAGUCAGACUACGGGGGAUAAGCUCCGUGGUCGAAAGGGAAACAGCCCAAACCAUCGUCUAAGGUCCCUAAGUAUACGCUAAGUGGAGAAGGAAGUGGAAUUGCAAAGACAGCCAGGAGGUUGGCUUAGAGGCAGCAAUCCUUGAAAGAAAGCGUAACAGCUCACUGGUCGAGUAGUUCUGCGCCGAAAAUGUAACGGGGCUAAGCGUAUCACCGAAGACAUGGGCCGUAAAAAUCUGAGGAUUUUUACGACGGUAGGGGAGCGUUCUGUACGCCUGUGAAGGUCGACCGUGAGGACGACUGGAGGUAUCAGAAGUGAGAAUGCCGGUAUGAGUA